Molecule: long non-coding RNA, 1172 nt
Filed under: Mustela putorius furo (domestic ferret)
Lineage: Eukaryota; Metazoa; Chordata; Mammalia; Carnivora; Mustelidae
Description: lncRNA (ENSMPUG00000030212.1)
Source: RNAcentral
AUGAUCACCGGGGGUCUGCAGACCCCCAGAGUCACGGAGAGGACGUGGAAGAAAGGGAAGGAGAGAGAGAGACCAAGAAAUGGAGACACAGAUCUCUUAUGUGCUAAAAACCAAGAAGAACCUCAUAACCGAUGUGUAUAUGUAUGCCUGAGCAUCAGAGGACACAGCAUUCAGCCUCAGACCUCCAGAAUCCUGUGUGCGUGUUUGAGAAGGAUAAAUAGCCUGCAUUUGAGAGCAUGUGACCAUGGAGGAGUGGAGGCUGGCGACGCCGGUCUCGGAGAGGGCCACAGCCAUCUUGGGUGCUUUCUGGGUGCCCCACGCCGGAGCCCGUCCAGCCACCCAUGCAGGGACUCACCGAGUUUCUCUCUCACAUUCUGUAAUAAAAGCCUUUCUGUGUCUGCACAGAUGGGAAGGCUGCUGCCACCUUCUCAUUUCACAUUAUCCUGCACUUUUCUUCCUAAGCGCUUGACUGCCCGAAAUAGAAUCGUGGUUUUUGGAGUCCGCGUGUAGGAAUGUAGUGGGGUGGGGUGGGGUGGGGGAGUGGGGGGGUGGUCAGGGUUUCUGUAAUCCCCUCUAAUAACCACACCCUGAGGGAAUUUUCCUAUUGGCUACAAGAUGGAUGAAAGAUUCAGAGGCGUGCGCAAAGUGUCUUUCGGAGAAGAGCCUCGAUUUUCCUUCCGGGGGUGGUUAGGGAAGGCUGACUGUAAGCCAGGACAUUAGCGCCCCACGAGGGCACAAGAGGGCCCUUUGCAUGCUUAUCCCCAGUAGCCCCCAUCCCUGAUUCUCUGCUUUCCUGGGGUCUCUUCCUCACUGGAUCACGCCCCCCACCACCCGCCUCUUUAAACGGAGCUCCCCAAACAAUCCACCUCCUUGCUCCUCUCUGCCUAGGUGAAUUCCCUCCAUCCAACCAAGUCUAAUUCAAAUCCCACCUCUUCUGGGAAGCCUUCCUGGAUGACUUCAGCUGGCAGGGAUUUCCCUCUUGUCUGAAUUUUCAAAGCCGCUGCUAACAGUCAUGGAGCACGUCCGUGCCGGGCAGCAUUCGUAGCAGUUUACAUAGACAAAGUCACAGUCCUUACAAUGACUCCACAAAGUCAGUUUUGUUAUUAUCCCCAUUUUACAGAUGAGGAUCCUGAGCCCUCCAGGGUUCUCCUAGCUCCCUAACUAGAUUAGAA